RNAcentral lists this ribosomal RNA (479 nucleotides) under uncultured Actinomycetes bacterium. RNAcentral's name for it is "bacterial SSU rRNA". It matches the Rfam family "Bacterial small subunit ribosomal RNA", at positions 355 to 827 of the family's 1533-position model. Lineage: Bacteria; Bacillati; Actinomycetota; Actinomycetes. The record is from RNAcentral.
UGGGGAAUCUUGCGCAAUGCACGACAGUGUGACGCGGCAACGCCGCGUGGGGGAAGAAGGCCUUCGGGUUGUAAACCUCUUUCAGGAGGGACGAAGCUUCGGCAGCGAAUAGCUGUCCGGAGUGACGGUACUUCCAUAAGAAGCCCCGGCUAACUACGUGCCAGCAGCCGCGGUAAUACGUAGGGGCAAGCGUUGUCCGGAAUCAUUGGGCGUAAAGAGCGCGUAGGCGGCCAGAUAAGUCCGGUGUGAAAGUCACAGGCUCAACCUGUGAAUGCCGCUGGAAACUGUUUGGCUAGAGUCCGGUAGGGGCGAGUGGAAUUCCUGGUGUAGCGGUGAAAUGCGCAGAUAUCAGGAGGAACACCAAUGGCGAAGGCAGCUCGCUGGAACGGUACUGACGCUGAGGCGCGAAAGCGUGGGGAGCGAACAGGAUUAGAUACCCUGGUAGUCCACGCCGUAAACGAUGGGUACUAGGUGUAGGA